UGCGACACAACCGUUGUUUUUAGAUGUGUGUCAGUGAACGUGCCAUUAUGACAUUAGAACCGGACCGUCCAGUGACACGUCCUCGACAAGGCGACGGAAUUCCACGGAGAUGCCAGGAGGCAGAACUCCCCGAGGCUGCCCCGCGGCUCGGGAGCGCCUCAGGCCCGUGACGGGAUUGUGACAGGCUGGGAUACAGAGCUUUUAGUACCUUCUGUCCGUGCUACUGUGGAAGAGGCGGGCCGAGGGAAACCGCGAAAGCGGGGCGAGGAGCUGCAGACGCGUUCUGCUGUCUGCAGAUCUGUCCCGAGUGUGGCUGCAAGGGAAAGAAACAGCGUCUGGAUACGUCUUAGGAGCGAAGUCAAACCGCUGGAGAAGGUUGCAGAGCAAAAGGAGACAGGAAGUAAUAAAAUAAAACAUGAAAAAAUGCAA
Apus apus (common swift) is the source of this 429-nucleotide long non-coding RNA. RefSeq lists it as uncharacterized. Lineage: Eukaryota; Metazoa; Chordata; Aves; Apodiformes; Apodidae. The record is from RefSeq and is a predicted model, not a curated record. The transcript has 2 exons.